This 253-nucleotide ribosomal RNA is filed under the name uncultured bacterium. Its description in RNAcentral is "partial 16S ribosomal RNA". It matches the Rfam family "Bacterial small subunit ribosomal RNA", at positions 524 to 776 of the family's 1533-position model. The record is from RNAcentral.
UACGAACUGUGCAAACGUUAUUCGGAUUCACUGGGCUUAAAGGGUGCGUAGGCGGCCAUGUAAGUAGGGUGUGAAAUCCCCCGGCUUAACCGGGGAACUGCGCCCUAAACUGUGUGGCUUGAGUGAGAUAGGGGUGUGUGGAACUUCCGGUGGAGCGGUGAAAUGUGUUGAUAUCGGAAGGAACGCCGGUGGCGAAAGCGACACACUGGGUCUCAACUGACGCUGAGGCACGAAAGCCAGGGGAGCGAACAGG